AUUGAACGCUGGCGGCAGGCCUAACACAUGCAAGUCGAGCGGAUGAAGGGAGCUUGCUCCUGGAUUCAGCGGCGGACGGGUGAGUAAUGCCUAGGAAUCUGCCUGGUCGUGGGGGAUAACGUCCGGAAACGGGCGCUAAUAUCGCAUACGUCCUGAGGGAGAAAGUGGGGGAUCUUCGGUCCUCACGCUAUCAGAUGAGCCUAGGUCGGAUUAGCUAGUUGGUGGGGCAAAGGCCUACCAAGGCGACGAUCCGUAACUGAUCUGAGAGGAUGAUCGGUCACACUGGAACUGAGACACGGUCCAGACUCCUACGGGAGGCAGCAGUAGGGAAUAUUCGACAAUGGGCGAAAGCCUGAUCCAGCCAUGCCGCGUGUGUGAAGAAGGUCUUCGGAUUGUAAAGCACUUUAAGUUGGGAGGAAGGGCAGUGAGUGAAUACCUUGCUGUUUUGACGUUACCAACAGAAUAAGCACCGGCUAACUUCGUG
RNAcentral lists this ribosomal RNA (484 nucleotides) under uncultured bacterium. RNAcentral describes it as "partial 16S ribosomal RNA". It matches the Rfam family "Bacterial small subunit ribosomal RNA", at positions 30 to 507 of the family's 1533-position model. The record is from RNAcentral.